Molecule: ribosomal RNA, 406 nt
Filed under: uncultured bacterium
Lineage: Bacteria
Description: partial 16S ribosomal RNA
Rfam family: Bacterial small subunit ribosomal RNA
Source: RNAcentral
AUUGAACGCUGGCGGCAGGCCUAACACAUGCAAGUCGAGCGAGCGGCGGACGGGUGAGUAAUAUCUGGGAAACUGCCUGAUGGAGGGGGAUAACCACUGGAAACGGUAGCUAAUACCGCAUACCGUCAGCUGUGCCAAGGUGGGAUUAGCUAGUAGGUGGGGUAACGGCUCACCUAGGCGACGAUCCCUAGCUGGUCUGAGAGGCUGACCAGCCACACUGGAACUGAGACACGGUCCAGACUCCUACGGGAGGCAGCAGUAGGGAAUAUUGCACAAUGGGCGCAAGCCUGAUGCAGCCAUGCCGCGUGUGUGAAGAAGGCCUUCGGGUUGUAAAGCACUUUCAGCGGGGAGGCGUUACCCGCAGAGGAAGCACCGGCUAACUCCGUGCCAGCAGCCGCGGUAAUAC